AAAUUCGCCGCAUCCUUGCAGAUGCGCGAACCUCAGUCCCCCCCAGGGUAUUACACAACGGGCUAUAACACUCCCCGAAGAGAGCCACAUUCCCGAAGUCUUUAUCCCCCGGGGAAAACUGAUGCUGGCCUGGACUGGAAAAGUGCACUGGGGAGAACCCCAGAUGAUUAACCAAGCCCAAGUCUGGUCAUAAACGCUUCCCUUUCAACAAUUUCACGUACUUUUUAACUCUCUUUUCAAAGUGCUUUUCAUCUUUCGAUCACUCUACUUGUGCGCUAUCGGUCUCUGGCCGGUAUUUAGCUUUAGAAGACAUAUACCUCCCAUUUAGAGCAGCAUUCCCAAACUACUCGACUCGUCGAAGGAACUUUACAGAGAUUUGGCAUCCAACCAGACGGGGCUCUCACCCUCUAUGGCGUCCCGUUCCAGGGAACUCGGAAGGCACCGCAUCAAAAGUAUCCUCUACAAAUUACAACUCGGGCCCGAGAGCCAGAUUUCAAAUUUGAGCUGUUGCCGCUUCACUCGCCGUUACUAGGGCAAUCCCUGUUGGUUUCUUUUCCUCCGCUUAUUGAUAUGCUUAAGUUCAGCGGGUAUUCCUACCUGAUCCGAGGUCAACAUUCAGAAGUUGGGGGUUUAACGGCUUGGCCGCGCCGCGUACCAGUUGCGAGGGUUUUACUACUACGCAAUGGAAGCUGCAGCGAGACCGCCACUAGAUUUCGGGGCCGGCUUGCCGCAAGGGCUCGCCGAUCCCCAACACCAAACCCGGGGGCUUGAGGGUUGAAAUGACGCUCGAACAGGCAUGCCCGCCAGAAUACUGGCGGGCGCAAUGUGCGUUCAAAGAUUCGAUGAUUCACUGAAUUCUGCAAUUCACAUUACUUAUCGCAUUUUGCUGCGUUCUUCAUCGAUGCCAGAACCAAGAGAUCCGUUGUUGAAAGUUUUGAUUUAUUUAUGGUUUUACUCAGAAGUUACAUAUAGAAACAGAGUUUAGGGGUCCUCUGGCGGGCCGUCCCGUUUUACCGGGAGCGGGCUGAUCCGCCGAGGCAACAAUUGGUAUGUUCACAGGGGUUUGGGAGUUGUAAACUCGGUAAUGAUCCCUCCGCUGGUUCA
Molecule: unclassified non-coding RNA, 1104 nt
Filed under: uncultured fungus
Lineage: Eukaryota; Fungi
Description: sequence contains ITS1, ITS2
Source: RNAcentral